Molecule: ribosomal RNA, 464 nt
Filed under: Vreelandella stevensii
Lineage: Bacteria; Pseudomonadati; Pseudomonadota; Gammaproteobacteria; Oceanospirillales; Halomonadaceae
Description: partial 16S ribosomal RNA
Rfam family: Bacterial small subunit ribosomal RNA
Source: RNAcentral
UCUACGGGGGCAGCAGUGGGGAAUAUUGGACAAUGGGCGAAAGCCUGAUCCAGCCAUGCCGCGUGUGUGAAGAAGGCCUUCGGGUUGUAAAGCACUUUCAGUGGGGAAGAAAGCCUUGGGGCUAAUACCCUCGAGGAAGGACAUCACCCACAGAAGAAGCACCGGCUAACUCCGUGCCAGCAGCCGCGGUAAUACGGAGGGUGCGAGCGUUAAUCGGAAUUACUGGGCGUAAAGCGCGCGUAGGCGGUCUGAUAAGCCGGUUGUGAAAGCCCCGGGCUCAACCUGGGAACGGCAUCCGGAACUGUCAGGCUAGAGUGCAGGAGAGGAAGGUAGAAUUCCCGGUGUAGCGGUGAAAUGCGUAGAGAUCGGGAGGAAUACCAGUGGCGAAGGCGGCCUUCUGGACUGACACUGACGCUGAGGUGCGAAAGCGUGGGUAGCAAACAGGAUUAGAUACCCGAGUAGUC